This 468-nucleotide ribosomal RNA is filed under the name uncultured bacterium. Its description in RNAcentral is "partial 16S ribosomal RNA". It matches the Rfam family "Bacterial small subunit ribosomal RNA", at positions 28 to 507 of the family's 1533-position model. The record is from RNAcentral.
GACGAACGCUGGCGGCGUGCUUGACACAUGCAAGUCGAACGGAAAGGCCCUGCUUUUGUGGGGUGCUCGAGUGGCGAACGGGUGAGUAACACGUGAGUAACCUGCCCUUGACUUUGGGAUAACUUCAGGAAACUGGGGCUAAUACCGGAUAGGAGCUCCUGCUGCAUGGUGGGGGUUGGAAAGUUUCGGCGGUUGGGGAUGGACUCGCGGCUUAUCAGCUUGUUGGUGGGGUAGUGGCUUACCAAGGCUUUGACGGGUAGCCGGCCUGAGAGGGUGGCCGGCCACAUUGGGACUGAGAUACGGCCCAGACUCCUACGGGAGGCAGCAGUGGGGAAUAUUGCACAAUGGGCGGAAGCCUGAUGCAGCAACGCCGCGUGCGGGAUGACGGCCUUCGGGUUGUAAACCGCUUUCGCCUGUGACGAAGCGUGAGUGACGGUAAUGGGUAAAGAAGCACCGGCUAACUACGUG